AAGGUAGCAUAAUCAGUUGGCUUAUAAUUGAAGUCUAGUAUGAAUGAAUAUACGGAGGGAUACUGUGUCAUAGUAGUAAAUUGAAAUUAUUUAAUAAGUGAAAAAGCUUAUUUUAAAUAAAAGACGAGAAGACCCUAGAAAUUUUUUUGUUGGGGCAACAUAGUAGCAUAGUAUCUACAAUAUUUAUAUGAAUCGUGUUGGAAGUAAGAUCAAAUUACUCUAGGGAUAACAGCAUAAAGUUUGUGACCUCGAUGUUGGACUAGGAAAUUUUAGUUUAGAAGACGUAAAAUAUGCUCUGUUCGAGCAAAUCUCCU
This 314-nucleotide ribosomal RNA is filed under the name Amphidromus glaucolarynx. RNAcentral describes it as "partial large subunit ribosomal RNA". The record is from RNAcentral. Lineage: Eukaryota; Metazoa; Mollusca; Gastropoda; Stylommatophora; Camaenidae.